UUUAUGUGCUGUGUCGCUCAUCAACUGGAUGUGAAAUGGAUUUGUAGCUCAUAUCACAGCCAGCUUUGAUGAGCGCUACAACAUCUAA
Non-coding RNA from Tribolium castaneum (red flour beetle), 88 nucleotides. RefSeq annotates it as microRNA mir-2-1. The transcript has a single exon. The record is from RefSeq and is marked provisional. NCBI's taxonomy places the organism in Eukaryota, Metazoa, Arthropoda, Insecta, Coleoptera, Tenebrionidae.